AGUGAACGCUGGCGGCGUGCUUAACACAUGCAAGUCGAACGGAUUAAGGAGCUUGCUUCUUUAGUUAGUGGCGCACGGGUGAGUAAUAUAUAGCUAACCUGCCCUUUAGUGGGGGACAACAGUUGGAAACGACUGCUAAUACCCCAUACUCCUUUUCAUCAUAUGGUGGAUUGGGAAAGAUUUAUCGCUAAAGGAUGGGGCUUUAUUGUAUCAGCUAGUUGGUGGGGUAAUGGCCUACCAAGGCAAUGACGCAUACCUGGUCUGAGAGGAUGAUCAGGCACACUGGAACUGAGACACGGUCCAGACUCCUACGGGAGGCAGCAGUGGGGAAUAUUGCACAAUGGAGGAAACUCUGAUGCAGCAACGCCGCGUGGAGGAUGACGCAUUUCGGUGUGUAAACUCCUUUUAUAGGGGAAGAUAAUGACGGUACCCUAUGAAUAAGCACCGGCUAACUCCGUGCCAGCAGCCGCGGUAA
Molecule: ribosomal RNA, 475 nt
Filed under: uncultured bacterium
Lineage: Bacteria
Description: bacterial SSU rRNA
Rfam family: Bacterial small subunit ribosomal RNA
Source: RNAcentral